Molecule: ribosomal RNA, 253 nt
Filed under: uncultured bacterium
Lineage: Bacteria
Description: partial 16S ribosomal RNA
Rfam family: Bacterial small subunit ribosomal RNA
Source: RNAcentral
GACGUAGGAGGCGAGCGUUGUCCGGAUUUACUGGGCGUAAAGCGCGCGCAGGCGGUCACGCAGGUCAUCUGUGAAAGCACUCGGCUCAACCGGGAUGAUGCGGGUGAAACCGCGUGACUGGAGGGUGGGAGAGGUCGGUGGAAUUCCCGGUGUAGUGGUGAAAUGCGUAGAUAUCGGGAGGAACACCCGUAGCGAAGGCGGCCGACUGGACCAACCCUGACGCUGAGGCGCGAAGGCCAGGGGAGCGAACGGG